GCGGACAGAAGGGAGCUUGCUCCCGGAUGUUAGCGGCGGACGGGUGAGUAACACGUGGGUAACCUGCCUGUAAGACUGGGAUAACUCCGGGAAACCGGAGCUAAUACCGGAUAGUUCCUUGAACCGCAUGGUUCAAGGAUGAAAGACGGUUUCGGCUGUCACUUACAGAUGGACCCGCGGCGCAUUAGCUAGUUGGUGAGGUAACGGCUCACCAAGGCGACGAUGCGUAGCCGACCUGAGAGGGUGAUCGGCCACACUGGGACUGAGACACGGCCCAGACUCCUACGGGAGGCAGCAGUAGGGAAUCUUCCGCAAUGGACGAAAGUCUGACGGAGCAACGCCGCGUGAGUGAUGAAGGUUUUCGGAUCGUAAAGCUCUGUUGUUAGGGAAGAACAAGUGCAAGAGUAACUGCUUGCACCUUGACGGUACCUAACCAGAAAGCCACGGCUAACUACGUGCCAGCAGCCGCGGUAAUACGUAGGUGGCAAGCGUUGUCCGGAAUUAUUGGGCGUAAAGGGCUCGCAGGCGGUUUCUUAAGU
This 539-nucleotide ribosomal RNA is filed under the name Bacillus altitudinis. Its description in RNAcentral is "bacterial SSU rRNA". It matches the Rfam family "Bacterial small subunit ribosomal RNA", at positions 66 to 588 of the family's 1533-position model. Lineage: Bacteria; Bacillati; Bacillota; Bacilli; Caryophanales; Bacillaceae. The record is from RNAcentral.